GGAGGAUUCUUCCCUUUCUCUAAAUAUUUCUCUCUCAAGACAAGAACUGUAGCGUACAACUUCCGUCAACCAUGGCUGCCGAAUCUGCUUUUGCAAUUCCCAAAGGCCAAGUUGAUUUGAUGGACUUUGUAGACUGGUCUGGCGUCGAAUGCCUUAACCAAAGUGGCAGCAACACUAUUGUCAAUGCCCUCAAACAGGGUUACAGAGAAGACGAGGGCUUGAACCUGGUGAGUGAUGCAGAUGAACAGCUAUUGAUUUACAUACCUUUUAAUCAAGUCAUCAAACUGCAUUCAAUCGUUAUCAAAGGACCUGAGGAGGAAGGUCCUAAAACUGUGAAGCUGUUUUCUAACAAGGAGCACAUGGGAUUUAGUAAUGUUAAUGAUUACCCUCCAAGUGACACAGUUGUUUUAUCUGAAGAUAACCUCAAGGGAAAACCAGUUACCUUGAAGUAUGUCAAGUUUCAAAAUGUUCGCAGUGUGACCAUUUUUAUUGAGGAUAAUCAACAUGAUGGGGAAACUACAAAUGUUCAAAAAAUUGUUUUGUAUGGAUCAACGGUGGAAACAACAGAUAUGAAAGGCUUGAAGAAGAUUGAGGACCACUGAUCCUGCAAAAGAUCAUUAUAAUUGUUCAUCAUUUUAAGAAUUUUGUUUUCUUUUUAACUUCUGUAGUUUACGACAGAAGUAAUUGGAAACUUGAUACACUGGAUAUACCAAAUUACAGUGUGAGCUGUCGCUGCUUUGUUCGAUGCAAUAUGUUACACCCACGAUUCACUACCUAAUUAGUGUAAAUUCUAG
This 794-nucleotide unclassified non-coding RNA is filed under the name Hevea brasiliensis (rubber tree). Lineage: Eukaryota; Viridiplantae; Streptophyta; Magnoliopsida; Malpighiales; Euphorbiaceae. The record is from RNAcentral.